AUGCGGGACACUGUUGAAACAAGCCCCCUCUUGCAGUACAGGGCCCAGACUGUAGUGCCAGGUCGCAUAUUGAAAAUGGAAGAGGCCAUCAAGAAUCGUGAUUUUGAAUCCUUUGCCAGGUUAACUUGUGCAGAUAGCAACCAGUUUCAUGCUGUAUGUUUGGACACGAGUCCUCCCAUCUUCUACAUGAAUGAUACGUCACACAGGAUAAUUAGCCUUGUGGAGAAGUGGAACCACUCGGAAGGAACCCCACAGAGGGAUUUCCUGACAAUCAAAUGCAAAGUUUGCCACUUGCACUACUGA
RNAcentral lists this ribosomal RNA (303 nucleotides) under Triticum aestivum (bread wheat). Its description in RNAcentral is "partial small subunit ribosomal RNA". The record is from RNAcentral. Lineage: Eukaryota; Viridiplantae; Streptophyta; Magnoliopsida; Poales; Poaceae.